UACGUAGGGGGCAAGCGUUGUCCGGAUUCAUUGGGCGUAAAGAGCGUGUAGGCGGCCUGGUAGGUCGGUUGUGAAAACUGGAGGCUCAACCUUCAGAGGUCGACCGAAACCAUCUGGCUAGAGUCCGGGAGAGGAGAGUGGAAUUCCUGGUGUAGCGGUGAAAUGCGCAGAUAUCAGGAAGAACACCCGUGGCGAAAGCGGCUCUCUGGAACGGUACUGACGCUGAGACGCGAAAGCGUGGGGAGCGAACAGG
RNAcentral lists this ribosomal RNA (253 nucleotides) under uncultured bacterium. Its description in RNAcentral is "partial 16S ribosomal RNA". It matches the Rfam family "Bacterial small subunit ribosomal RNA", at positions 524 to 776 of the family's 1533-position model. The record is from RNAcentral.